ACAAGCGGUGGAGCUAUGUGGUUAAUUCGAUGAUACGCGAAGAACCUUACCGGGUUUGACAUGCAGGUGAUCGCCGUUGAAAGACGGUUUCCUCUUCGGAGGCACCUGCACAGGUGCUGCAUGGCUGUCGUCAGCUCGUGUCGUGAGAUGUUGGGUUAAGUCCCGCAACGAGCGCAACCCUUGUCAUUAGUUGCUACAUUCAGUUGGGCACUCUAAUGAGACUGCCGGUGACAAGCCGGAGGAAGGUGGGGAUGACGUCAAGUCCUCAUGGCCCUUAUAGGUGGGGCUACACACGUCAUACAAUGGCUGGUACAAAGGGUUGCCAACCCGCGAGGGGGAGCUAAUCCCAUAAAGCCAGUCGUAGUCCGGAUCGUAGUCUGCAACUCGACUACGUGAAGUCGGAAUCGCUAGUAAUCGUGGAUCAGAAUGUCACGGUGAAUACGUUCCCGGGUCUU
RNAcentral lists this ribosomal RNA (455 nucleotides) under uncultured Rhodoferax sp. Its description in RNAcentral is "bacterial SSU rRNA". It matches the Rfam family "Bacterial small subunit ribosomal RNA", at positions 925 to 1382 of the family's 1533-position model. The record is from RNAcentral. Lineage: Bacteria; Pseudomonadati; Pseudomonadota; Betaproteobacteria; Burkholderiales; Comamonadaceae.